Molecule: ribosomal RNA, 826 nt
Filed under: uncultured Methylocapsa sp.
Lineage: Bacteria; Pseudomonadati; Pseudomonadota; Alphaproteobacteria; Hyphomicrobiales; Beijerinckiaceae
Description: bacterial SSU rRNA
Rfam family: Bacterial small subunit ribosomal RNA
Source: RNAcentral
AGAGUUUGAUCCUGGCUCAGAACGAACGCUGGCGGCAGGCCUAACACAUGCAAGUCGAGCGCCCCGCAAGGGGAGCGGCGGACGGGUGAGUAACACGUGGGAAUUUUCCUCAAGGUACGGAACAACUCAGGGAAACUUGGGCUAAUACCGUAUGAUGUCUAGCGACCAAAGAUUUAUCGCCUUGGGAUAAGCCCGCGUCAGAUUAGGUAGUUGGUGAGGUAACGGCUCACCAAGCCUGUGAUCUGUAGCUGGUCUGAGAGGACGAUCAGCCACAUUGGGACUGAGACACGGCCCAAACUCCUACGGGAGGCAGCAGUGGGGAAUCUUGCGCAAUGGGCGAAAGCCUGACGCAGCCAUGCCGCGUGAAUGAUGAAGGUCUUAGGAUUGUAAAGUUCUUUCGCCUGUGACGAUGAUGACGGUAACAGGAGAAGAAGCCCCGGCUAACUUCGUGCCAGCAGCCGCGGUAAUACGAAGGGGGCUAGCGUUGUUCGGAAUUACUGGGCGUAAAGCGCGCGUAGGCGGCUUUGCAAGCCAGAGGUGAAAUGCCUGAGCUCAACUUAGGAAUUGCCUUUGGGACUGCGAGGCUUCGAGGACUGGAGAGGUGAGUGGAAUUCCCAGUGUAGAGGUGAAAUUCGUAGAUAUUGGGAAGAACACCAGUGGCGAAGGCGGCUCACUGGCCAGUUUCUGACGCUAAAGUGCGAAAGCGUGGGGAUCAAACAGGAUUAGAUACCCUGGUAGUCCACGCUGUAAACGAUGAGUGCUAGGCGUCGGCACGCUUGCGUGUCGGUGUCGCAGCUAACGCAUUAAGCAUUCCGCCUGGGGAGUA